UUCUCUCACUCUUUGCUGAAAAUUCUCUUCAUUUCUCUCUCUACCUCUCUUUCUCAUUCUUUUUAAUUUUUCGCAAAACAAGAGAUAGUCCCAGUUUUCUUUACGAUUGGAGGCUCAAAUAAUAUCCGAUCGUCACGAAAUUUUAACCAAAGGUAGAAGACUCAUAAAGGAUCAUUCUUACCGAAGGAGAUCAAAUAUUAACGGUUAGAUCUUCCAGAAUUAAUUUCGGAAGUGACUGUCGGUUUCUACAGUAGCAGCAUUGAUUUUCUAUACGAUCGGAGGUUCAAACAUUGCCCGAUCGUCUUGAAAUUUUAAAGGAAGGAAGUUGGGGUUUUCUGAAGAUAGAAUACUAGCUUUGCGACGAAGCCAUAACUCAAUUUUGUACAUUUCUUAUUUGAAGAGAAAUGACUAUAUUCUGUAAAUGGACAUUUAAUAUCUGAUAAGUCGUAUUCUAAGCCUUGGUUACUGGUCAGUAUGUCGUGAAAUGCAUGUAUUAUCUGCAAAACAGUUGCUCAAGUGUUCAGGUUAAGGGAUCCAAGCCAGUAGGAGACGAUUCAGGCGACGCAAGUGAAAAGAGCACUAGAAGGAUGAAAUACUGACUAGGAUGCAUGCCAGAGAAAAGGCUCGAGA
This is a long non-coding RNA of Salvia hispanica, 630 nucleotides long. RefSeq lists it as uncharacterized. The record is from RefSeq and is a predicted model, not a curated record. Lineage: Eukaryota; Viridiplantae; Streptophyta; Magnoliopsida; Lamiales; Lamiaceae.